This 487-nucleotide ribosomal RNA is filed under the name uncultured bacterium. Its description in RNAcentral is "bacterial SSU rRNA". It matches the Rfam family "Bacterial small subunit ribosomal RNA", at positions 30 to 514 of the family's 1533-position model. The record is from RNAcentral.
AUUGAACGCUGGCGGCAGGCCUAACACAUGCAAGUCGAGCGAGAAAGGUCUUCGGACUGAGUACAGCGGCGGACGGGUGAGUAAAGCGUAGGAAUCUACCUGGUAGUGGGGGAUAACUUGGGGAAACUCAAACUAAUACCGCAUACGCCCUACGGGGAAAGCGGGGACCUUCGGGCCUCGCGCUAUCAGAUGAGCCUGCGUAGGAUUAGCUAGUUGGUGAGGUAAAGGCUCACCAAGGCGACGAUCCUUAGCUGGUCUGAGAGGAUGAUCAGCCACACUGGGACUGAGACACGGCCCAGACUCCUACGGGAGGCAGCAGUGGGGAAUAUUGCGCAAUGGGCGGAAGCCUGACGCAGCCAUGCCGCGUGUGUGAAGAAGGCCUUAGGGUUGUAAAGCACUUUCAAUUGGGAAGAAAGUUAGGUCGUUAAUAGCGGCCAGCCCUGACAUUAACCUUUAGAAGAAGGACCGGCUAACUCCGUGCCAGCAG